Molecule: ribosomal RNA, 254 nt
Filed under: uncultured bacterium
Lineage: Bacteria
Description: partial 16S ribosomal RNA
Rfam family: Bacterial small subunit ribosomal RNA
Source: RNAcentral
UACGAAGGGUGCAAACGUUGCUCGGAAUUAUUGGGCGUAAAGCGCACGUAGGCGGCUUUGCAAGUCCCAUGUGAAAGCCCACGGCUUAACCGUGGAAGUGCAUGGGAAACUGCAGAGCUUGAGUACUUAAGAGGAUCGCGGAAUUCCCGGUGUAGAGGUGAAAUUCGUAGAUAUCGGGAGGAACACCAGUGGCGAAGGCGGCGAUCUGGGGAAGAUACUGACGCUGAGGUGCGAAAGCGUGGGGAGCAAACAGG